GUCAAGUCAGCAUGACCCUUAUGCUCAGGGCUACACACGUGCUACAUUGGCCGGUACAAAGGGCUGCAAACCCGCGAGGGGGAGCGAAUCCCAAAAAGCCGGUCCCGGUUCGGAUUGGAGGCUGAAACUCGCCUCCAUGAAGGCGGAGUUGCUAGUAAUCGCGAAUCAGCAACGUCGCGGUGAAUACGUUCCCGGGCCUU
This 200-nucleotide ribosomal RNA is filed under the name uncultured organism. RNAcentral's name for it is "partial small subunit ribosomal RNA". It matches the Rfam family "Bacterial small subunit ribosomal RNA", at positions 1184 to 1382 of the family's 1533-position model. The record is from RNAcentral.